Molecule: long non-coding RNA, 315 nt
Filed under: Ananas comosus (pineapple)
Lineage: Eukaryota; Viridiplantae; Streptophyta; Magnoliopsida; Poales; Bromeliaceae
Description: long non-coding RNA (ACOM_LNC002324)
Source: RNAcentral
CUAUAAAGCACAUAAGAAGAGAGAUAGAGUUCUAUAUUAGCACUAAAAACUUUUUACAAAAUAGGCCGAUAUAUUUUAAAAAUUAACUGAAAAUAUAUAAACUACCAAAGGACUAUAAAGUAAAUAUUGAAAAGUUGAAGAGGGCCAUGGCUCCUUUGGGUCUAUAUAUGGGCUGUCCCUGUGCGUAAGCCUUGGAGUCUUGGCCCACAAGCCAACAAUUCUUUUAAAAAAAAUUUCACUUUGGUCCCCUAAAUUUACAAUAUUUUAAUUUUUUUAAUAGCUUACUAGUGGAUUGUUCUAUAAUUUUAAAAAUGU